This 495-nucleotide unclassified non-coding RNA is filed under the name Hevea brasiliensis (rubber tree). The record is from RNAcentral. Lineage: Eukaryota; Viridiplantae; Streptophyta; Magnoliopsida; Malpighiales; Euphorbiaceae.
UUGAAACUGUAGCUUCAAUAAUAUGAUUCCACUUUCCUCGUAUCAGCUAUAAGGGACUUGCCAGCAAAGAAAAAAGGGUCAGAGGUCCACCAGGGAGGUCCCUGGUGAGGACCCUCCGACACUCAAGUUAGAGGGGCUAGUAGUCUAGUAGAGAUACAGUAGAGAGGGAAGAAAGAAGAGGACUAAAAGAAAAAAAUGGAACUCCUUUCUAUCCUUGCCUGACCCUAUUUAUGGGGAAAAGUGAUGGGAGCAUAUUCCUUGGUAUAUUCUAGGGAAUAUUUCUUGACGGGUAUAUUCCUAAAUAAAAAGGGUAUAUAUAUUACAUGUGAUUAUUUUAUGGUGUAUCAACUUUUGCUCUUAGUUUGUGUAGCGUAUACAUGAAAAUAUUAAGCUAUCUGAAACAGUAUACUCGAUGAGAAAAAAAAACAUUCCUGUUCUUUUUCAUUUUUUUUCCUUUACAUCAUUUUUAGGCUGACUAUUUUUUGGGUUAUGCAG